GAUGAACGCUGGCGGCGUGCCUAAUACGUGCAAGUCGAGCGAACGGACGAGAAGCUUGCUUCUCUGAUGUUAGCGGCGGACGGGUGAGUAACACGUGGAUAACCUACCUAUAAGACUGGGAUAACUUCGGGAAACCGGAGCUAAUACCGGAUAAUAUUUUGAACCGCAUGGUUCAAAAGUGAAAGACGGUCUUGCUGUCACUUAUAGAUGGAUCCGCGCUGCAUUAGAUAGUUGGUAAGGUAACGGCUUACCAAGGCAACGAUGCAUAGCCGACCUGAGAGGGUGAUCGGCCACACUGGAACUGAGACACGGUCCAGACUCCUACGGGAGGCAGCAGUAGGGAAUCUUCCGCAAUGGGCGAAAGCCUGACGGAGCAACGCCGCGUGAGUGAUGAAGGUCUUCGGAUCGUAAAACUCUGUUAUUAGGGAAGAACAUAUGUGUAAGUAACUGUGCACAUCUUGACGGUACCUAAUCAGAAAGCCACGGCUAACUACGUG
This 497-nucleotide ribosomal RNA is filed under the name uncultured bacterium. Its description in RNAcentral is "partial 16S ribosomal RNA". It matches the Rfam family "Bacterial small subunit ribosomal RNA", at positions 28 to 507 of the family's 1533-position model. The record is from RNAcentral.